GUCCCAGUAGCACAAUGAAUAGCCGGUUGGACUUCUAAUUCAAAGGUCGUGGGUUCGAAUUCCACUUGAGAUG
This is a non-coding RNA of Trichonephila clavipes, 73 nucleotides long. NCBI's taxonomy places the organism in Eukaryota, Metazoa, Arthropoda, Arachnida, Araneae, Nephilidae. The record is from the annotation of a GenBank genome assembly.